This 72-nucleotide transfer RNA is filed under the name Ovis aries (sheep). It matches the Rfam family "tRNA". From Rfam's summary of the family: Transfer RNA (tRNA) molecules are approximately 80 nucleotides in length. The record is from Rfam by way of RNAcentral. Lineage: Eukaryota; Metazoa; Chordata; Mammalia; Artiodactyla; Bovidae.
UCCCAAGUAGCUCAGAUGGUUAAGAAUCUGCCUGCAAUGCAGGAGACCUGGGUUCAAUUCCUGGGUUGGGAA